UACGUAGGGGGCAAGCGUUGUCCGGAAUCAUUGGGCGUAAAGGGCGCGUAGGCGGAUAUUUAAGUCUGGUGUGAAAACUUGGGGCUCAACCCCAAGCCUGCAUCGGAAACUGGAUAUCUUGAGGACAGGAGAGGAAAGUGGAAUUCCACGUGUAGCGGUGAAAUGCGUAGAGAUGUGGAGGAACACCAGUGGCGAAGGCGACUUUCUGGACUGUAACUGACGCUGAGGCGCGAAAGCGUGGGGAGCAAACAGG
This 253-nucleotide ribosomal RNA is filed under the name uncultured Desulfitobacterium sp. Its description in RNAcentral is "partial 16S ribosomal RNA". It matches the Rfam family "Bacterial small subunit ribosomal RNA", at positions 524 to 776 of the family's 1533-position model. Lineage: Bacteria; Bacillati; Bacillota; Clostridia; Eubacteriales; Desulfitobacteriaceae. The record is from RNAcentral.